CGCCGGUACAAGCGUAUAGCAGUCAUGCAGGCAAAGCCGCAUGAAAAAUGUAAAGCGUUAUGUGGAUCGAACAUUAGUAGAGAAGCGUGUGAGCCAGCUGCCAAGAAAAGCCGCUAUUGUUUCAUAAGUACCCGUACCGUAAACCGACACAGGUGGAUGAGGAGAGAAUCCUAAGGCCGGCGGGAGAAGUGUUGUUAAGGAACUCGGCAAAAUGACUCCGUAACUUCGGGAGAAGGAGUGCCACAGAGAUGUGGCCGCAGAGAAAUGGCCCAAGCAACUGUUUAGCAAAAACACAGGUCUAUGCAAAACCGAAAGGUGAGGUAUAUGGGCUGACGCCUGCCCGGUGCUGGAAGGUUAAGAGGAGAGGUUAGAGCAAUCGAAGCUUUGAAUUUAAGCCCCAGUAAACGGCGGCCGUAACUAUAACGGUCCUAAAGUAGCGAAAUUCCUUGUCGGGUAAGUUCCGACCCGCACGAAAGGCGUAAUGAUUUGGGCACUGUCUCAACAACACACCCGGUGAAAUUGAAAUACCAGUGAAGAUGCUGGUUACCUGCGCCAGGACGGAAAGACCCCAUGGAGCUUUACUCCAGUUUGAUACUGGGAUUCGGUACUGUCUGUACAGGAUAGGUGGGAGGCUAGGAAAUGGUGACGCCAGUUGCCAUGGAGCCAACCUUGGGAUACCACCCUUACAGUACUGGGUUUCUAACCUGCAGCCGUAACCCGGCUGGGGGACAAUGUCUGACGGGGAGUUUGACUGGGGCGGUCGCCUCCGAAAGAGUAUCGGAGGCGCUCAAAGGUUCCCUCAGAACGGUUGGGAACCGUUCGAAGAGUGCAAAGGCAGAAGGGAGCUUGACUGCGACACCGACGGGUGGAGCAGAUACGAAAGUAGGACUUAGUGAUCCGGUGGUAUAAAGUGGGAUUGCCAUCGCUCAACGGAUAAAAGCUACCCUGGGAUAACAGGCUUAUCACUCCCAAGAGUUCACAUCGACGGAGUGGUUUGGCACCUCGAUGUCGGCUCAUCGCAUCCUGGAGCUGUAGCAGGUUCCAAGGGUUGGGCUGUUCGCCCAUUAAAGCGGUACGCGAGCUGGGUUCAGAACGUCGUGAGACAGUUCGGUCCCUAUCCGGCGUGGGCGUAGGAUAUUUGAGAGGAGCUGUCCUUAGUACGAGAGGACCGGGAUGGACAAACCUCUGGUGUAUCUGUUGUUUUACCAAAGGCAUGGCAGAGUAGCCAAGUUUGGCAGGGAUAAACGCUGAAGGCAUCUAAGCGUGAAGCCCCCCUCAAGAUAAGAUAUCCCAUCUUCGGAGUAAGACCCCUUGAAGACUACAAGGUUGAUAGGCUUCAGGUGUAAGUGUGGUAACGCACUCAGCUGAGAAGUACUAAUAGGUCGAGGACUUAUCAA
Molecule: ribosomal RNA, 1397 nt
Filed under: metagenome
Description: bacterial LSU rRNA
Rfam family: Bacterial large subunit ribosomal RNA
Source: RNAcentral